Triticum urartu is the source of this 124-nucleotide non-coding RNA. Lineage: Eukaryota; Viridiplantae; Streptophyta; Magnoliopsida; Poales; Poaceae. The record is from Rfam.
GAUAUACUCCCUCCGUCCGGAAAUACUCGUCGGAGGAAUGGAUGUAUCUAGACAUAUUUUAGUUCUAGUUGCAUCCGUUUUAUCCAUUUCUCUGACAAGUAUUUCCGGGCGAAGGUAGUAUAAG